CCACCUGUGGGAAGGGCGGUGGCUUAGAAACCCGGCUUGAAUCCUGGCUUUGCCACUUACAAGCAGUAUGACUCUGGGCAAGUCACUUUGCCUCUCUGAGCUUGUUUUUUCAAGUGUGAGGUGGGGAUGUUAACAGCACCUGUCUCCUGAGUAUCGCGCUUGCAAUAACACCUGGCCUGUACUCAGUGUUCUAGAACUUUCUGCUACUUCCCUCCUGGAUGUCAGGUCUGAGGUCCUGACGUAACACAGUCUCACCUCCCAGGCUUUGAAAGGGCAGGAGAAAGGGAGACAAAAGUGAUAAGAAUAGUGAUCAGGCCUCCAUAUUCUAAGUCUACACUAUGUUAAAAGCUUUGUGUAUGUGAUUUUCCAUAAUUUUCAUAGUAACAUCUCAGUGAUACUAGUUAUCACCGCAUUUUGCAGCGUGGAUAGUCUGAGGCUCAGAGAUGGGUUGAAUUCACUUGCUCAGUCUCAGCUGGCAAGCUCGGACUCCCAAGAUAGCCUCCGUUCUCAGCCUCCAAGGGCCUGCAGGAAGGGAGGGAUGUCCUCACCACCCCUGUGGGAUUUGGGCAGUGAACCAAGCCGGUUGAACCAAUGUUCCAAUCUGGGCUUGCUACUCACUGGCUGAGUGACCUUGGGCAAGUUUCUCAACCUCUCUGUGCUCCAGUUUCCUCAAAGUGGGAGGGAGAACAACAACUCCAAAGGGCUGCAGAGGAUUCCAGGAGCUUCUGAGGGCCAAGAGCUUUCCUAGCACCAGGCCUGAUCAGGGCGGGUACAUGGGAACCAUGAGAGAUGGUUUCAGGAUUAUGCUGGGUGUCUCACGCACAAUAAAGGGGCAGCGACCUCCCAGAGCUCCCAGGGCUGGGUUUCUGGGGGAAGUGGGAGGACCAGUGCCUGGCUCAGGCCUCAGGGACAGUUGGCAGAUGACUAAGGAGGGAUUUUCCAGGCCGUGAAUCAGAGCCUGCCCCAUCCACACUUGGCCCAGACUCAUCGGUCCCAGCAGGCUUCCUAACUCUGGAGAGGCCAGGGAGCAAAGAACACCCCCCAAAGCCAGAGAGAGGACAGAGCCUAUGGGGACUGCAGCAGGCUUGGUCAGAGCCAGGCCACAUCUCCACUCCCCAGGGGCACACUCUGAGGCUGGAAAAGGGGACUCCAGCCACCCCAGCCCUGAGGCAUUGUGGCAGAACCCCCAGAAACUACAGAGGAUGUUUAAAGUUAUACACAUGACUUGCAUUGUAACUUCUGUUGGACAACGGCGGUCUUGAGACACAGCCUGCCACAGUGACAACAACAGAAAGAACGCGGAAAAUGGCAAUGGUGUAGUCACUGCUCCCACGCAUUAUCAACGCUGAAGCCUUCCACCAGUGCUGCAAAGUGGGGAUCACAGGCUCCAUUUCUCAGAUGAGGAAACUGAGGCUUGGAGAGCAAAGUGCUUGCCUGAAGUCACCCAGACUGGGAAGCCCUAGACUUAUGCCACGUGCCUUUCUUGCAAAGGAUUGGACGCAAAGAUGGACCGAUGGGGAAGGAGUCACUGGGGCGUGGGGAGAGGCAGGGAGGACUUCAGCAAAGCCCAUGUGUCAGCUGCUCCCCUUGCAAACAGGACCGCGGGGGCGCCCUUACCAGCAGUCCUCUUCAGCAUCUGGUG
Mirounga angustirostris (Northern elephant seal) is the source of this 1642-nucleotide long non-coding RNA. RefSeq lists it as uncharacterized. NCBI's taxonomy places the organism in Eukaryota, Metazoa, Chordata, Mammalia, Carnivora, Phocidae. The transcript is spliced from 2 exons. The record is from RefSeq and is a predicted model, not a curated record.